This 431-nucleotide ribosomal RNA is filed under the name uncultured bacterium. RNAcentral's name for it is "partial 16S ribosomal RNA". It matches the Rfam family "Bacterial small subunit ribosomal RNA", at positions 29 to 505 of the family's 1533-position model. The record is from RNAcentral.
AACGAACGCUGGCGGCAUGCCUAACACAUGCAAGUCGAACGAGACCUUCGUGUCUAGUGGCGCACGGGUGCGUAACGCGUGGGAACCUGCCCUUAGGUUCGGAAUAACUCCCCGAAAGGGGUGCUAAUACCGGAUAAUGUCUUCGGACCAAAGAUUUAUCGCCUUUGGAUGGGCCCGCGUUGGAUUAGCUAGUUGGUAGGGUAAAAGCCUACCAAGGCGACGAUCCAUAGCUGGUCUGAGAGGAUGAUCAGCCACACUGGGACUGAGACACGGCCCAGACUCCGACGGGAGGCAGCAGUGGGGAAUAUUGGACAAUGGGCGAAAGCCUGAUCCAGCAAUGCCGCGUGAGGGAUGAAGGCCUUAGGGUUGUAAAGCUCUUUUACCCGGGAUGAUAAUGACAGCACCGGGAGAAUAAGCUCCGGCUAACUCCG